AGGACACAGCUGAGCCUACCAGCCAAAAUUCUGCACGUCUGGGAAAAUGCAUAUAAGAGAGAGGGCAAAAUUUUGCCUGAAAACACCAAAUUCAGAGAGGAAGGAAAAAAGAGGAGAUGCUGCAGCCUGAGGAGAGGAACCGUGUUGACCUGUUGAGGAGAGGAAGUGAGAGUCUGGGUCUGUCAUGGCUGGGUCUGUCGGCCAGCCAAGGUCAGCCCAUCACAGCCAGAAGAGACAGCUUGGCUCUGCUUUGCCAGUGGUCCUUCAGUAUCACAAAACUGUGAUGUUGUACUAGCAGCAGAAACAUCAGAGGUAGAUGUCAAUAGUGAUUGAGCCACUCAUGUCUCUUAUGCUGUGAAUUUCAACUAAACUAAAACUCAACUUCUGGAUUAGGCACAUUACCGCCCACCCCUCCAAAAAAAAUUAAAAAAAAAAUUAACCAAAAAAACAACAGUAAACCCAACAGAUUAGAAGCACAAAUUAUCCCCAAAUGCCAUUUAGACUUAUCUUGUAGAGCAUUAGCAGUGAAAUGCACAGUCAGAACAGGCAUAAAUUGAUUCAUACUGUGUUUUAUUUUCCCCCAGUCAAUAAGGGUUGUAUUCAUUAAAUAAAUAUUACGUUGGCUUUCAGAUAUUUUACAGCAAGCCUGUUUCUUCUGGGUCAGGAUACAAGCUUUAAUUUAAGAUCAAGGAGGAAGAAAAGAAAUUUUAUGUUGAUGGAUCUUUAAAGGAAUGUCUGCCUGAACCCCAUUCAAAAGAAAAUUCAUGGAAUUAAGUGUGUUAUGGAUCAUUUUUGCAUCAUGGGAAAAACUUGGAGUUCCAGUUGGACCCUUACAAACUGUGUGUGCAAGGUUUAAAUCUAAUUUGCAACAUUGAUAUGGAUGAAUAUGUCAAAACAAAAGGACUCUUUCCAUCAUUGGACUUUAAUAUUUUGGAUAACCAAGGCCAAUGAGUGUCUGAAAAGAAUUAAUUCCUGUACAGCAUUCAACACAAUUUUGUCUGUGAAUACCAGUAAUAACAUUCUACUUCAUUUCUCCACUUCUGGGCACAGUUUGACUGGGAUUCUUUUUACCCCUCUUCGAUUUCUACAUUUUAAACCACUGUUUAUAUCAGCAGGUAAAUUUUCUUUUUCUUCUUUCUUCUUUUUCACUGCUCAUUUUUUUUUUUUCUAAAAUGUAUAAUGCUCUAUACUCACUCUAUAAUUUAAAUUGCUGUUUUCCAGCCUGGCUGAAGAAUGUCUGAAAGAGUUUGAAGUUCAAGGGGAUGUUUGUGUGUGUUUUGGCAGAUGUUAAGAAGUUUUUCAAAAAAUGAGUGCUGGUGUCUUACUAGAGGAAACUUCUGUCUUCCAACUGAGAACCUCUUGAGAGCUUAUUUGUUGCUCUACAUGCUCUGUCUGGUAUGGCAGUGAUACCUUUCACAUUUUAGAGAUUUCACUUUACGAGCACUGCUUCUUCUGUGAGCACUGCUUUUCUUCUUCUUUUCUUUUCUUUUUCUUUGAAGGGAAAUAAAAUUUAAGCAAACAUAACA
RNAcentral lists this long non-coding RNA (1526 nucleotides) under Numida meleagris (helmeted guineafowl). RNAcentral describes it as "lncRNA (ENSNMEG00000010277.1)". The record is from RNAcentral. Lineage: Eukaryota; Metazoa; Chordata; Aves; Galliformes; Numididae.